Molecule: ribosomal RNA, 375 nt
Filed under: uncultured organism
Description: partial 16S ribosomal RNA
Rfam family: Bacterial small subunit ribosomal RNA
Source: RNAcentral
GUAGGUGGCAAGCGUUGUCCCGGAAUUAUUGGGGCGUAAAGCGCGCGCAGGGCGGUCCUUUAAGUCUGAUGUGAAAGCCCACGGCUCAACCGUGGAGGGUCAUUGGAAACUGGGGGACUUGAGUACAGAAGAGGAAAGCGGAAUUCCAAGUGUAGCGGUGAAAAGCGUAGAGAUUUGGAGGAACACCAGUGGCGAAGGCGGCUUUCUGGUCUGUAACUGACGCUGAGGCGCGAAAGCGUGGGGAGCAAACAGGAUUAGAUACCCUGGUAGUCCACGCCGUAAGCGAUGAGUGCUAAGUGUUAGGGGGUUUCCGCCCCCUUAGUGCUGCAGCUAACGCAUUAAGCACUCCGCCUGGGGAGUACGGCCGCAAGGCUG